Molecule: ribosomal RNA, 432 nt
Filed under: uncultured bacterium
Lineage: Bacteria
Description: partial 16S ribosomal RNA
Rfam family: Bacterial small subunit ribosomal RNA
Source: RNAcentral
AACGAACGCUGGCGGCAUGCCUAACACAUGCAAGUCGAGCGAGACCUUCGGGUCUAGUGGCGCACGGGUGCGUAACGCGUGGGAACCUGCCCUUAGGUUCGGAAUAACUCCCCGAAAGGGGUGCUAAUACCGGAUAAUGUCUUCGGACCAAAGAUUUAUCGCCUUUGGAUGGGCCCGCGUUGGAUUAGCUAGUUGGUAGGGUAAAAGCCUACCAAGGCGACGAUCCAUAGCUGGUCUGAGAGGAUGAUCAGCCACACUGGGACUGAGACACGGCCCAGACUCGUACGGGGGGGAGGAGGGGGGAAUAUGGGAAAAGGGGGGAAAGCCUGAUCCAGCAAGGCCGGGGGGGGGAGGAAGGCCUUAGGGUUGUAAAGCUCUUUUACCCGGGAUGAUAAGGACAGUACCGGGGAAAAAAGCCCCGGCUAACUCCGU